RNAcentral lists this small nuclear RNA (126 nucleotides) under Zalophus californianus (California sea lion). RNAcentral's name for it is "U2 spliceosomal RNA (ENSZCAG00015002842.1)". It matches the Rfam family "U2 spliceosomal RNA". Rfam says of the family: U2 is a small nuclear RNA (snRNA) component of the spliceosome (involved in pre-mRNA splicing). Complementary binding between U2 snRNA (in an area lying towards the 5' end but 3' to hairpin I) and the branchpoint sequence (BPS) of the intron results the bulging out of an unpaired adenosine, on the BPS, which initiates a nucleophilic attack at the intronic 5' splice site, thus starting the first of two transesterification reactions that mediate splicing. Lineage: Eukaryota; Metazoa; Chordata; Mammalia; Carnivora; Otariidae. The record is from RNAcentral.
AUGGCUUCUCAGCCUAUUGGCUAAGAUCAAGUGUAGUAUUUGUUCUUAUCCGUUUAAUAAUGCCCUUAUCAAUUGUUGAUACUCACUUAUAUUGAUUUAAUUGAACUAGCUGAAUAUGUUCCCUUU